GACGAACGCUGGCGGCGUGCCUAAUACAUGCAAGUAGAACGCUGAAGAGAGGAGCUUGCUCUUCUUGGAUGAGUUGCGAACGGGUGAGUAACGCGUAGGUAACCUGCCUUGUAGCGGGGGAUAACUAUUGGAAACGAUGGCUAAUACCGCAUAACAAUAGGUGACACAUGUCAUUUAUUUGAAAGGGGCAACUGCUCCACUACAAGAUGGACCUGCGUUGUAUUAGCUAGUAGGUGAGGUAACGGCUCACCUAGGCGACGAUACAUAGCCGACCUGAGAGGGUGAUCGGCCACACUGGGACUGAGACACGGCCCAGACUCCUACGGGAGGCAGCAGUAGGGAAUCUUCGGCAAUGGGGGCAACCCUGACCGAGCAACGCCGCGUGAGUGAAGAAGGUUUUCGGAUCGUAAAGCUCUGUUGUAAGUCAAGAACGAGUGUGAGAGUGGAAAGUUCACACUGUGACGGUAGCUUACCAGAAAGGGACGGCUAACUACGUG
RNAcentral lists this ribosomal RNA (497 nucleotides) under uncultured bacterium. Its description in RNAcentral is "partial 16S ribosomal RNA". It matches the Rfam family "Bacterial small subunit ribosomal RNA", at positions 28 to 507 of the family's 1533-position model. The record is from RNAcentral.